UAACGGCGAGUGAAGCGGUAAAAGCUCAAAUUUGAAAUCUGGUACUUUCAGUGCCCGAGUUGUAAUUUGUAGAAUUUGUCUUUGAUUAGGUCCUUGUCUAUGUUCCUUGGAACAGGACGUCAUAGAGGGUGAGAAUCCCGUUUGGCGAGGAUACCUUUUCUUUGUAAGACUUUUUCGAAGAGUCGAGUUGUUUGGGAAUGCAGCUCAAAGUGGGUGGUAAAUUCCAUCUAAAGCUAAAUAUUGGCGAGAGACCGAUAGCGAACAAGUACAGUGAUGGAAAGAUGAAAAGAACUUUGAAAAGAGAGUGAAAAAGUACGUGAAAUUGUUGAAAGGGAAGGGCAUUUGAUCAGACAUGGUGUUUUUUUAAUGUGCAAGUCUCUCGUGGACAUGUGCCUCUGGAAAUUAACACUGGGCCAACAUCAGUUCUGGCGGCAGGAUAAAUCAUUAAGAAUGUAGCUACCUCGGUAGUGUUAUAGCUUUUUGGAAUACUGCCAGCUGGGAUUGAGGACUGCGCUUCGGCAAGGAUGUUGGCAUAAUGGUUAAAUGCCGCCCGUCUUGAA
This 560-nucleotide ribosomal RNA is filed under the name Hanseniaspora thailandica (nom. inval.). RNAcentral's name for it is "partial large subunit ribosomal RNA". It matches the Rfam family "Eukaryotic large subunit ribosomal RNA", at positions 84 to 658 of the family's 3401-position model. Lineage: Eukaryota; Fungi; Ascomycota; Saccharomycetes; Saccharomycodales; Saccharomycodaceae. The record is from RNAcentral.